This 74-nucleotide transfer RNA is filed under the name Clostridium porci. RNAcentral describes it as "Clostridium sp. WCA-389-WT-23D1 tRNA-Arg". It matches the Rfam family "tRNA". Rfam says of the family: Transfer RNA (tRNA) molecules are approximately 80 nucleotides in length. The record is from RNAcentral. Lineage: Bacteria; Bacillati; Bacillota; Clostridia; Eubacteriales; Clostridiaceae.
CUUCCCUUAGCACAAACGGAUAGUGCAACGGAUUUCUAAUCCGUCGGUUGUGAGUUCGAGUCUCGCAGGGAAGA